Molecule: ribosomal RNA, 826 nt
Filed under: uncultured bacterium
Lineage: Bacteria
Description: bacterial SSU rRNA
Rfam family: Bacterial small subunit ribosomal RNA
Source: RNAcentral
AGAGUUUGAUCCUGGCUCAGGACGAAUUCUGGCGGCGUGCUUAACACAUGCAAGUCGAACGGGGUGUUUAUUUCGGUAAACACCAAGUGGCGAACGGGUGAGUAACGCGUAAGCAAUCUACCUUCAAGAUGGGGACAACACUUCGAAAGGGGUGCUAAUACCGAAUGAAUGUAAGAGUAUCGCAUGAGACACUUACUAAAGGAGGCCUCUGACAUAAGCUUCCGCUUGAAGAUGAGCUUGCGUCUGAUUAGCUAGUUGGUGAGGGUAAAGGCCCACCAAGGCGACGAUCAGUAGCCGGUCUGAGAGGAUGAACGGCCACAUUGGGACUGAGACACGGCCCAGACUCCUACGGGAGGCAGCAGUGGGGAAUCUUCCGCAAUGGGCGAAAGCCUGACGGAGCAACGCCGCGUGAACGAUGAAGGUCUUAGGAUCGUAAAGUUCUGUUGUUAGGGACGAAGGGUAAGAAUCAUAAUAAGGUUUUUAUUUGACGGUACCUAACGAGGAAGCCACGGCUAACUACGUGCCAGCAGCCGCGGUAAUACGUAGGCGGCAAGCGUUGUCCGGAAUUAUUGGGCGUAAAGGGAGCGCAGGCGGGAAACUAAGCGGAUCUUAAAAGUGCGGGGCUCAACCCCGUGAUGGGGUCCGAACUGGUUUUCUUGAGUGCAGGAGAGGAAAGCGGAAUUCCCAGUGUAGCGGUGAAAUGCGUAGAUAUUGGGAAGAACACCAGUGGCGAAGGCGGCUUUCUGGACUGUAACUGACGCUGAGGCUCGAAAGCUAGGGUAGCGAACGGGAUUAGAUACCCCGGUAGUCCUAGCCGUAAACGAUG